UACGUAGGGGGCAAGCGUUGUCCGGAAUCAUUGGGCGUAAAGCGCGUGUAGGCGGCCAGAUAAGUCCGCUGUGAAAUCUCGAGGCUCAACUUCGAGCUGUCGGUGGAAACUGUCUGGCUAGAGUCCGGAAGAGGAGAAUGGAAUUCCUGGUGUAGCGGUGAAAUGCGCAGAUAUCAGGAGGAACACCUAUUGCGAAGGCAGCUCGCUGGGACGUUACUGACGCUGAGACGCGAAAGCGUGGGGAGCAAACAGG
Molecule: ribosomal RNA, 253 nt
Filed under: uncultured bacterium
Lineage: Bacteria
Description: partial 16S ribosomal RNA
Rfam family: Bacterial small subunit ribosomal RNA
Source: RNAcentral